UAAAAAUAAAUUUAUUAAUUUUAUUUUUUAAUAAAUAAAUUAAGUUUUAGUAUUUUUUAAAGAAAAAAUAAUUUUAAUUAUAGUGAAUAGUAUUGAAAAAGAAAAUUGAAAUAAUAAUUGAAAAUAAAUUAUAUAAAAAGAAAUUUUAAAUUAAUGUACCUUUUGUAUCAGGGAUUAUUAAAUAAUUAAUUAGUAUUUAAUUAAUUUCGAAAUAAAAAGAUUUAAUUUAAUAUAAUUUUUAUUGUAAUAAAAUUAUUUUAAAUAUUAAAUUAGAAUUAAAAAAUUAAUCGGGUUUUAUUAUAUCUAAUUUUUUAAGAAAUAAAUUUAAUUUAGUUUUAUAUUUUUAUUUAAUUAUUUAUUUAAUUUUAUAAUAAGUAUAAAAUAAUAUAUUAAGGGAUAAGCUUUAGUAUAAAAAAUUAUAAAAAUUUAAUAUUAUAAAUUUAUAUAUUCUUAGAAAUAGAAAUUAUAAAUUAGUAUGUUAUAAUUUAAUAAAUAAAAUAUAAUAUUUAAUUUUUUUUUUAAUUAUUCUAUUAAAAUAUUUAAUUUAAUAAUAAAAUUAAAUUAAUUAUGAUAAUAUUAGUAUAUAAUUUUAUAUAAAAUUAUUAAUUGUUUAAAAUUAAUUGUAAGGAAUUCGGCAAAUUUAGUAUUCACCUGUUUAUUAAAAACAUGUCUUUUUGAAGUUUAUUUAAAGUCUAAUCUGCCCACUGAUAUUUAAAGGGCCGCAGUAUAUUAACUGUGCAAAGGUAGCAUAAUCAUUAGUUUUUUAAUUGAAAGCUAGAAUGAAUGAUUGGAUGAAAUAUUUACUGUCUUAUAAUUAUUAAAAUAAAACUUUAUUUUUUAAUUAAAAAGUUAAAAUUCGAUAAAAAGACGAGAAGACCCUAUAGAUCUUUAUAAAUUAAAUAAUUAAAUAAAAAUUAGUUAAAUUAUUUUUUUAGUUGUUAAUUUAUUAUAUUGGGGUAAUAAUAAAAUUUUAUAAAUUUUUAUUUAUUUUAUUCAAUUAUAGUUGUUUAAUUGAUCCAGUAUUAUUGAUUAAAAAUUUAAGUUACCUUAGGGAUAACAGCGUAAUGAUUUUUGAGAGUUCUUAUCGAUAAAAUAGUUUGUGACCUCGAUGUUGAAUUAAAAUUUAUUUUAAAUGCAGAAGUUUAAAUAAUAAAGUCUGUUCGACUUUUAAUUUUUUACAUGAUUUGAGUUUAGACCGGCGUAAGCCAGGUCAGUUUCUAUCUUUUAAACAUAAAAAUAUUUUAGUACGAAAGGAUUAAAUAUUUAAUUAAUUUAAUUAAAAAUGAAAAUAAGAUUAUUUAUAAAUAAAAUGA
RNAcentral lists this ribosomal RNA (1313 nucleotides) under Nyssomyia flaviscutellata. RNAcentral's name for it is "16S ribosomal RNA". The stretch from base 1053 to 1212 matches the Rfam family "Eukaryotic large subunit ribosomal RNA", at positions 2825 to 2984 of the family's 3401-position model. Lineage: Eukaryota; Metazoa; Arthropoda; Insecta; Diptera; Psychodidae. The record is from RNAcentral.